This is a long non-coding RNA of Symphalangus syndactylus (siamang), 2550 nucleotides long. RefSeq lists it as uncharacterized. The record is from RefSeq and is a predicted model, not a curated record. NCBI's taxonomy places the organism in Eukaryota, Metazoa, Chordata, Mammalia, Primates, Hylobatidae.
UUGCCUUUUUCCAGUUCCAGUAGCUGGCUAUUCCUAAGGCUCCAGGUUUUACAUAAGGGCUUAGUUCCAGCUCACCUGCCUCAUCAAAGCUCAGCCUUGUGCUUGGACAUUAAAACUCAACUACUGGCUCCUGAGGCAUACAGCCAAGUAUAAAAUUUUGGAGGGCUACCGCAGUAUCUGUUCUGCUUUCUGCUCUUCAAUGUUUAAAAUUUAUUUCGGGCACUGAGAAUUUCCUUUUUGUUGUUUUUUGUUUUUACGGUUGUAUAUGGUUUAUAUAACAAUAAUUAUAUUUUAUCCAUUAUUUCUAUGAGUUUGUAAAGGAAAGCUCAGUCGACCAUGUUGGAGGAGGUCUUCUCAUUUACUUUUCGUGAAGAACAUCAGUGAUCUUUGUUUUGCUCCUCCCGAGCCUUCCUUACAGAGCUCACAUUCUCUAUUCAAAGUCACUUUUCCUAAAAACCAGCGAUUACUUUUCUAAAGAAGUCUGGUACUAGGUCUUAAAAAAGUAUUUUCAGCCAGGCGCGGUGGCUCAUGCCUGUAAUCCCAGCACUUUGGGAGGCCAAGGUGGGCAGAUAGGAGGUCAGGAGAUCGAGAGUAUCCUGGCUCCAACAUGGCGAAACCCCAUCUCUACUAAAAUACAAAAAUUAGCUGGGUGUGGUGAUACAUGCCUGUAAUCCCAGCUACUCAGAAGGCUGAGGCACAAGAAUCGCUUGAACCCAGGAGGCAGACAGAAGUUGCAAUGAGCCUAGAUCGCACCGCUGCACUCCAGCCUGGUGACAGAGCUUUUUUUAAAAAGAAAAUUUUCAUGUACUACUCAUAAAAAGAUGAAGAUCAUGUCUCCAAGUCUUUUCUGCCGUUGCCAGUAUCCUCUCCCAAUCUCCUGUGGGCAACUUCUUCGGGAAAACACUCAUGCGAUUUCUUAAGGACAAGCAAUAACGUAAGGCAUGGAAUGGUCUAGGUACAUACGUAUUAAAAACAUAUUUCUGUCCUUAUGCUAAUAAAAGAAAGAUAUUUUUAAAAUAAACCUGUUUACGUUAAUGUCACUAUGUUAAAAUAUAAAGCAAAGCAGUUCAUUUCUUUGCUGCUACAUGUCUAAAAUAUUUCUAUUGCAACUGGGAACCAUUGUUCUACAUUUGUGUAAAUGAGUAUCCAUUCAGAUGACUUUACAAAACCAAAAGUGUUUGUGCCUGAAAGUUUAAUCCCUCACGUUUUAAGAGAAAGAAAACACUUGCAAUUUUUAAACAACAGUUUUCCCCAUUGUUGCCUUUCAAGGAUUUAAAUAAUCUUUUAUUUCAGAUUUAGCUUGAAUUAUUUAUAAUGAUUAUUAGAAAGUAAUUUUAUUGCUUAAAAUAUUGAUUUAUACUUGUGCUACACUUAGUUCCAUACACAUUUCCUAAGUUACUUCAUGUAAUACAGGUAAUUUCCUUUUCAUAGAUGAAGAAGCUGGAUCUUGGAACUAGGCUUUGAUCACGGAGCGGAGCUGAGAUGAAAGUCCAUUCACUCAUUCAACAAAUAAUAAUGAGUGCUUACAAAAAUUUCUGCUGUAUGGAGCUUAUAUUGUAGUGAAUAUCAAUUCUUAUUUUAUUGAUUAUAAAGCAGAACCUUUUGCAACAAUUUUACACUACCCUAGGAGUACCUAUCAGUCUUCAUGCCUCAAGUAAUUGUCCUGUCCAUGUGUCCAUGUGACUACGGAAGCCCUGAAAUCUUUGAAACCCUAGAUGACCCAUUUCACCAGACGCUUGGACAUUCUCUGUCGAGUUUGGAUUUAUAGUGGGUACCCAGAUUUAGGUCAAGAACAUAAAAUCUGAACUGCUUUAGGCACUGCCCAUAAGGAGUGAAUUCCUAGUGAAAAUGCAAUGUCCCUCAGGAAUGAUUGCUAUAGCAGGCUAAAAGGUAGAUUUAUAAAUGUUUAUAAAAAGCAGAUUAGAUUUAGCAGAGGUAGCAGUGAUGACCAGGAGCAAUAGGAGGAAAUGUUCUUAAUAGUGCUGUUUGGUGGCAUCUUCUUUUUAUACAAAGAAGUCUUGCAAGCAUUUCUACUUGAAUGACUAAUUUGGAGUAAUUUUUAGUUUCUGUAUUUUUAUUAGUUAAUAGGAUCUAGGAAUAUAAUAACCUGGUGAGAAUUUCUCUGUGAAUGGCAAUCAAAUUUGUCUUAUUCAUGAAACUCAUAAAUAAGCUUUAAUCCAGCAUUUUAUAGCUAGGGAAAAUAACACUGGGAUCCUGCUAUUUAAGAGGCUAAGGGAAUUUAAUAGAACACUGGGGGAUUUAUAGUAGAUUUAUGAUGAAGAUACAUUCUAACUGGAAGCUUAAUUGUUAUUUAAAAUAUAGGUCAAGCUGUGCAAUGUGUUUCCUUUUUAGGGGGAAAUCUUUAGAGAGAUAGAGUGUGCUUGUUUAAAGAGGAAACAGACCAAAUGAGAAAACAGAUUGCAUUUUCUGUUUUUCUUUUAAAAUUUCAAGCUGCUUUAAGUCAAAUUGCCCCUGAGUUCCUGAUGAUGGCUGUGGCGAAACUGCCUUGUUUUACUUUCUUGCCUUCUUUUCCAGAGCAGUUAUUUUACC